This is a non-coding RNA of Camellia sinensis, 447 nucleotides long. The record is from RefSeq and is a predicted model, not a curated record. NCBI's taxonomy places the organism in Eukaryota, Viridiplantae, Streptophyta, Magnoliopsida, Ericales, Theaceae.
GACGCUAUGGACUUGUGGUCUGCACAGACACUGUGGGCCUGAUGCUCCUAUAGCAUUUGAAAGCAAAUUCAGGGGAAACCAUAUGUCGCAUGCCUAUGAUUUUUACAAGCCCAACCGUGCAAGUGAAUAUCCGCUUGUUCAAAAGAGCUUUGCCUGGUUGUGGUUCAAUGACUUCUUGAGGAAUGUCGUGAUUCGAUGACUUCUUGAGGAAUGUCGUGAUCUAGAGAUUGCUUUCGCCAUGUCUCUCUUAAAACUAAUUGGUGCUAGAGAGGGUUUUAGCUUUAGUUUUAAGAUUAUGUGAGGUCGACCUAUCAGUGUCUCUUGAGCUUUUGAAGCUGUUAUGAAAAUCUCUCCAAGUAUCUAAUCCCAUUUGUUCCCCUAGCUAUGGUCUCUUAGUGUCAGUCGGCCAUUAGAAUGCCUUUGCUAAGACUAAAUGUGUUUUAUUCA